This 75-nucleotide transfer RNA is filed under the name Sporomusa termitida. RNAcentral describes it as "tRNA-Cys". It matches the Rfam family "tRNA". Rfam says of the family: Transfer RNA (tRNA) molecules are approximately 80 nucleotides in length. The record is from RNAcentral. RNAcentral also lists the same sequence under 17 other names. Lineage: Bacteria; Bacillati; Bacillota; Negativicutes; Selenomonadales; Sporomusaceae.
GGCGACAUAGCCAAGUGGUAAGGCAGAGGUCUGCAAAACCUCUAUUCCCCAGUUCAAAUCUGGGUGUCGCCUCCA